This 253-nucleotide ribosomal RNA is filed under the name uncultured bacterium. RNAcentral describes it as "partial 16S ribosomal RNA". It matches the Rfam family "Bacterial small subunit ribosomal RNA", at positions 524 to 776 of the family's 1533-position model. The record is from RNAcentral.
UACGAAGGGUGCAAACGUUGCUCGGAAUUAUUGGGCGUAAAGCGCACGUAGGCGGCUUGGCAAGUCGGAUGUGAAAUCCCUCGGCUCAACCAAGGAAGUGCAUCCGAAACUGCUGAGCUUGAGUUCUUAAGAGGAUCGCGGAAUUCCCGGUGUAGAGGUGAAAUUCGUAGAUAUCGAGAGGAACACCGGUGGCGAAGGCGGCCUUCUGGACAGUAACUGACGCUGAGACGCGAAAGCGUGGGGAGCAAACAGG